AUUGAACGCUGGCGGCAUGCCUUACACAUGCAAGUCGAACGGUAACAGGUCUUCGGAUGCUGACGAGUGGCGAACGGGUGAGUAAUACAUCGGAACGUGCCUAGUAGUGGGGGAUCACUACUCGAAAGAGCGGCUAAUACCGCAUGCGAUCUACGGAUGAAAGCAGGGGAUCGCAAGACCUUGUGCUACUAGAGCGGCCGAUGGCAGAUUAGGUAGUUGGUGUGAUAAAAGCUUACCAAGCCGACGAUCUGUAGCUGGUCUGAGAGGACGACCAGCCACACUGGGACUGAGACACGGCCCAGACUCCUACGGGAGGCAGCAGUGGGGAAUUUUGGACAAUGGGCGAAAGCCUGAUCCAGCAAUGCCGCGUGCAGGAUGAAGGCCUUCGGGUUGUAAACUGCUUUUGUACGGAACGAAAAGCCCUGGGUUAAUACCCUGGGGUCAUGACGGUACCGUAAGAAUAAGCACCGGCUAACUACGUGCCAGCAGCCGCCGCUG
RNAcentral lists this ribosomal RNA (498 nucleotides) under uncultured bacterium. Its description in RNAcentral is "partial 16S ribosomal RNA". It matches the Rfam family "Bacterial small subunit ribosomal RNA", at positions 30 to 523 of the family's 1533-position model. The record is from RNAcentral.